RNAcentral lists this ribosomal RNA (339 nucleotides) under uncultured Anaerolineaceae bacterium. Its description in RNAcentral is "bacterial SSU rRNA". It matches the Rfam family "Bacterial small subunit ribosomal RNA", at positions 1030 to 1382 of the family's 1533-position model. The record is from RNAcentral. Lineage: Bacteria; Bacillati; Chloroflexota; Anaerolineae; Anaerolineales; Anaerolineaceae.
UUGUACAGGUGCUGCAUGGCUGUCGUCAGCUCGUGUCGUGAGAUGUCGGUUAAGUCCGCUAACGAGCGCAACCCUCGCUGUGUGUUACAAGUGUCACACGGAACUGCCGGUCAUAAACCGGAGGAAGGUGGGGAUGACGUCAAGUCAGCAUGGCCUUUAUAUCCUGGGCUACACACACGCUACAAUGGGAAGGGACAAUAGGUUGCGAAGCCGCGAGGCGGAGCCAAUCCAGCAAAACUUCCCUCAGUUCAGAUUGCAGGCUGCAACUCGCCUGCAUGAAGUUGGAGUUGCUAGUAAACGCAGGUCAGCCAUACUGCGUUGAAUACGUUCCCGGGGCUU